Molecule: ribosomal RNA, 31 nt
Filed under: Rinorea leiophylla
Lineage: Eukaryota; Viridiplantae; Streptophyta; Magnoliopsida; Malpighiales; Violaceae
Description: partial 28S ribosomal RNA
Source: RNAcentral
UGAGGCCCCAGGUCAGGCGGAUACCCGCUGA